Molecule: ribosomal RNA, 883 nt
Filed under: Gigaspora margarita
Lineage: Eukaryota; Fungi; Glomeromycota; Glomeromycetes; Diversisporales; Gigasporaceae
Description: eukaryotic LSU rRNA
Rfam family: Eukaryotic large subunit ribosomal RNA
Source: RNAcentral
ACCUCAAGUCAUGUGAGAGUACCCGCUGAACUUAAGCAUAUCAAUAAGCGGAGGAAAAGAAACUAACAAGGAUUCCCCUAGUAACGGCGAGUGAAGCGGGAAGAGCACAAAUUUAAAAUCUACCUGGUUUUCAGGUCGAGUUGUAAUUUGAGGAUACGUUUUUGACGUUCUGGGUUGGACUAAAUCCUUUGGGAUAAGGUAUCAUAGAGGGUGAGAAUCCCGUAUAUACCAACCGUAGGGAUGUUAUUAAAUACGUUUCUAAGAGUCGAGUUGUUUGGGAAUGCAGCUCUAAAUGGGUGGUAAAUUUCACCUAAUGCUAAAUAUAAGCGAGAGACCGAUAGCGAACAAGUACAGUGAUGGAAAGAUGAAAAGAACUUUGAAAAGAGAGUUAAAUAGUACGUGAAAUUGUUGAAAGGGAAACGAUUGAAGUCAGUCAUGCCGGUGGGAAUCAACUUAGGGGAAACUCUGGGUGCACUUCUUCGCUUGGCAGGUCAACGUCGAUUUUGAAUGUCAUAAAAUAAUUGGGGGAAGGUAGCUCCUUCGGGAGUGUUAUAGCCCUUGAUAGAUGUGAUGUUUGAGGUCGAGGAUUGCAACGGAUACCCUUCGGGGCUAGCUGCCUGAUCUCUAAUUGGUGUUGGGUUACGGAUAGCAUGCUGACCGUGAUCUAAUUACUGGUUAAAAGGUUAGAGUGUGCAUAAAUUCGUUAAGGACGUUGACGUAAUGGCUUUAAACGACCCGUCUUGAAACACGGACCAAGGAGUCUAACAUGUAUGCGAGUGUUAGGGUAUUAAACCCAGACGCGAAAUGAAAGUGAGUGUAGGUGGGAUCCUUUAUUGGAGCACCAUCGACCGAUCUUGAGAUUUAUCGANAGAGUNNNUAGAGC